RNAcentral lists this ribosomal RNA (997 nucleotides) under uncultured bacterium. RNAcentral describes it as "bacterial SSU rRNA". It matches the Rfam family "Bacterial small subunit ribosomal RNA", at positions 355 to 1375 of the family's 1533-position model. The record is from RNAcentral.
UGGGGAAUAUUGCACAAUGGGGGAAACCCUGAUGCAGCGACGCCGCGUGGAGGAAGAAGGUCUUCGGAUUGUAAACUCCUGUUGUUGGGGAAGAUAAUGACGGUACUCAACAAGGAAGUGACGGCUAACUACGUGCCAGCAGCCGCGGUAAAACGUAGGUCACAAGCGUUGUCCGGAAUUACUGGGUGUAAAGGGAGCGCAGGCGGGAGAACAAGUUGGAAGUGAAAUCCAUGGGCUCAACCCAUGAACUGCUUUCAAAACUGUUUUUCUUGAGUAGUGCAGAGGUAGGCGGAAUUCCCGGUGUAGCGGUGGAAUGCGUAGAUAUCGGGAGGAACACCAGUGGCGAAGGCGGCCUACUGGGCACCAACUGACGCUGAGGCUCGAAAGUGUGGGUAGCAAACAGGAUUAGAUACCCUGGUAGUCCACACCGUAAACGAUGAUUACUAGGUGUUGGGGGAUUGACCCCUUCAGUGCCGCAGUUAACACAAUAAGUAUCCCACCUGGGGAGUACGGCCGCAAGGUUGAAACUCAAAGGAAUUGACGGGGGCCCGCACAAGCAGUGGAGUAUGUGGUUUAAUUCGAAGCAACGCGAAGAACCUUACCAGGCCUUGACAUCCCGAUGACCGGUCUAGAGAUAGACCUUCUCUUCGGAGCAUCGGUGACAGGUGGUGCAUGGUUGUCGUCAGCUCGUGUCGUGAGAUGUUGGGUUAAGUCCCGCAACGAGCGCAACCCUUACGGUUAGUUGAUACGCAAGAUCACUCUAGCCGGACUGCCGUUGACAAAACGGAGGAAGGUGGGGACGACGUCAAAUCAUCAUGCCCCUUAUGGCCUGGGCUACACACGUACUACAAUGGCAGUCAUACAGAGGGAAGCAAAAUCGCGAGGUGGAGCAAAUCCCUAAAAGCUGUCCCAGUUCAGAUUGCAGGCUGCAACCCGCCUGCAUGAAGUCGGAAUUGCUAGUAAUCGCGGAUCAGCAUGCCGCGGUGAAUACGUUCCC